Molecule: non-coding RNA, 369 nt
Organism: Sorex fumeus (smoky shrew)
Lineage: Eukaryota; Metazoa; Chordata; Mammalia; Eulipotyphla; Soricidae
Source: the annotation of a RefSeq genome assembly
AUGAGGGCACCUGUGCAGCCACUCAGCUUCCGGCUGCUCUGGCUCCAGGGUUCCAGUUGUGAUAUCCAGAAGAGCCAAACUCCAUCCACGUCUGAAUCUCUGGGAGAGAAUAUCACCAUCCCUUGCAAUGCCAGUCAGAGCAUUAACUAUUGGUUAGCCUGGUAUCAGCAGAAACCAGGGAAAGCUCCUAGACUCCUCAUCUAUGAGGCAACCAAAUUAGGACAAGAUGUCCAUUCCCGCUUCAGUGGCAGUCAAUCUGGGACAGAUUUCACUCUCACCAUCAGCAACAUCAAGCCUGAGGAUGCUGCCACUUAUUACUGUAAACAAAGUUGGAGUAACCCUCCCACAAUGAUACAGGCCAGAACAUAA